Molecule: long non-coding RNA, 1984 nt
Organism: Ictalurus punctatus (channel catfish)
Lineage: Eukaryota; Metazoa; Chordata; Actinopteri; Siluriformes; Ictaluridae
Source: Ensembl
GUAGUAUCAUUAUCAGUAGUAUUAUCAGUAGUAGUAUCAGUAGUAGUAUCAGUAGUAUUAUCAGUAGUAGUAUCAGUAGUAUUAUCAGUAGUAGUAUCAGUAGUAGUAUCAGUAUAGGUAUCAGUAGUAUUAUCAGUAGUAGUAUCAGUAGUAUUAUACAGAGUAUUAUCAGUAGUAUUAUCAGUAGUAUUAUCAGUAGUAGUAUCAGUAGUAUUAUCAGUAGUAUUAUCAGUAGUAGUAUCAGUAGUAGUAUCAGUAGUAGUAUCAGUAGUAUUAUUCAUAGUAGUAUCAGUAGUAUUAUCAGUAGUAGUAUCAGUAGUAGUAUCAGUAGUAUAGUACGUCUAGUAGUGGUAACUAGUGCUACGGUAAGUAUGAGCAGUAGCACAAAGGACACGUUAUUGUUCAUAAACACGUCCUGCAUAUAAACAGAUCCACUCGCGGUGUGUGUCAGACGUCUGCACCGAGUUCCACUCCACACCGACCCUUAACUUCACACCUUCAGAUGUUUCACAAACCACCGCCUGAGCACCAUCAGUGUUAUUAAAACAUCCUGAGCUUCACAUGUUCCAGCUAAACCAGUGAUGCUAAAGAAAAACAAACACGUGUGCGAGUGUGUGUGUGUGUGUGUGUGUGUGUGUGUGAGUGUGUGUGUGUGCGUCGAGAACGCGUGCAGCGUGUAAAUAUCAAACCCUGAGGUGAGUUACGGAGGUCAGAGCGAAACUCGGAUUUAAACGCCUCACAACAAAAUCCGUUUCGGGCGCGUGAGAAGAGGCUACAGCUAACAUCACGUAGCUUCAACCUCGUCACGUUUUUGUGCUACAUUCGGCCGUAAAAAACACGUCCUGGGCGACUGAACACGUGUAAACCGUGUAAAAUUUCAUUUACAGUCAAACAUUUAUGAAAAACCGCUUGAAGCUGGAUCCUCGAGUCGCAACGAAGAACAACAACAGAAGCAGCUGGACACGUUUCCGUGGCAAUAACUAAACCUGCACGUGUAGCUACAGCCGCGCUCACGUUUGUUUAACUGCGAAAACGCGAAGAAAUCAGGAGAUCUGUAAAGCCCCGCAGGUUCUCGUGUUGAACUCCAACACAGCCUGGAGCUCUGAGGAAGCGCGGCGUAGCGACCUGAAGUUCUCCCGAGGUGCUCGAACGAAGGACGCGUCUCAACGCGAGCUUCACACAACCCGCUGAACACUAAAAUCUGACCUCCACGUCAUCACCGCUCAAAAAGAGAAGAACAAAGAGAACCGUAUGAUUUCGUUUUAAACCUGUUCUGAACUUUCCAGAUUUACAACCUUCAGCUUUCUUCAUCAGCCUGUGCGGUCAAACCUGAUCGGCACCGCUCUUACAAAGUAACGCCUCCAGCCUGACGCCGUCGGAGAACCCUUUCACCCUCACGGUCUUUACAGAACCACCCAUUCACUCACUAGUGCCUCAAAGAGCCCAGAAACGGUUCUUCACAGCAGUGCCACAAGGUUCUCAAAGAACCUUCUUCUCGUCAAGAUCCGUCUUCCCCUUGUACAGGGUUCUCGAGUUGAGCUGGACGCUUCUCUGGAGAUUACAGGAGUUCUUUAUGUUUUGCUAAAGGUUCUUCAGAGCAGUGUUUGGUUCUUCGAGGUCUCAUCCCUUCUUAACAGCUUGAAGUGAACCCUGCACUAUACGGUUCUUUGAGGGACUGGAUGUGUGAGAAGGUUCUCCUUGCAGCACUCUAAUAACUGAGAACUUGUUAGAGAACUCGACACUGCUGUGAAGAACCAUUUUCAAGAUAAACGGUUCUGUAAAGAGCGUACGAGUUCAAGCGUCCUCCUAUGGCUGAAAAAAGUGUUUUCGGUUCUGACUGCGAGCUCCAUUUUUAAGCGUGAACCUUUUCCAGUCCCACAAAGAACCUUAUACAGCAGGGUUCACUUCAACCCGCUGAGAAGGGACGGGACCUUGAAGAACCUUUAACGGAACAUAAAGAACUUCUUUAAUCUCCACAGAAGCG